CUAAAACAAAAGGGCACAAAACAUUUCAGGCAGAGGCAGUAGGAGAAACCAGCUGUCUUCCAGGAAGUCAGAAACUAGAGACAUUUGCAAAAGGAAUCUAUCAAGAGAUCCAAAGAGGAUAUGCCUGUACACUUGAUAGAAAGCAAGACGUAAGGCCCUCAGGAUGGAAACAAGCCAAGGAGCCCAGAAGCAGGGCCACGUCCAGGAAGCCAACAUUGCCCAGGAAAGGAACGAAGAAACCCAGCGGGACAGAAGCUCAAAAUCACUCCCAAGUGACGAUUCUCCAGUGCCUCAUCUGGGAGCCAAACCCGUUUUGACCCGCCUGCAAACUCCUCGUUGCCUUUUCCUCGAGGCGUCACCCCGUGUGUGUUGGCCUCUCUUGUUGUCCGUAAUGUCCAUCCUGUGCUUGUGGUUUGUGGGGGCACCUGUUUGGGGCUUGAGAGUUAUGGGUAUUGCUGAGUUUGCUUAGUUCUACUUUGAAAGAAAACAAAGCCAAAUGCUUUUGUUCCAGCUACAGAUCACUGGGGAGGAGGAAACACCGUUCUUAAUCAUUUGGCCUGUCUUUCCUCUUCUUUCACAUUCCCUCUGUAUUCCUUUUCCAUCUUCACUUAAGAAAUGC
This is a long non-coding RNA of Leopardus geoffroyi (Geoffroy's cat), 619 nucleotides long. RefSeq lists it as uncharacterized. The record is from RefSeq and is a predicted model, not a curated record. Lineage: Eukaryota; Metazoa; Chordata; Mammalia; Carnivora; Felidae. The transcript is spliced from 4 exons.